RNAcentral lists this ribosomal RNA (305 nucleotides) under uncultured bacterium. RNAcentral's name for it is "bacterial SSU rRNA". It matches the Rfam family "Bacterial small subunit ribosomal RNA", at positions 333 to 639 of the family's 1533-position model. The record is from RNAcentral.
UGGUUCCUCGGGGGCAGCAGUGGGGAAUAUUGCACAAUGGGCGCAAGCCUGAUGCAGCGACGCCGCGUGCGGGAUGGAGGCCUUCGGGUUGUAAACCGCUUUUGUUCAAGGGCAAGGCACGGUCUUUGGCCGUGUUGAGUGGAUUGUUCGAAUAAGCACCGGCUAACUACGUGCCAGCAGCCGCGGUAAUACGUAGGGUGCAAGCGUUAUCCGGAUUUAUUGGGCGUAAAGGGCUCGUAGGCGGUCCGUCGCGUCCGGUGUGAAAUUCCAUCGCUUAACGGUGGAUCCGCGCCGGGUACGGGCGG